This 503-nucleotide ribosomal RNA is filed under the name uncultured bacterium. RNAcentral describes it as "SSU rRNA". It matches the Rfam family "Bacterial small subunit ribosomal RNA", at positions 26 to 518 of the family's 1533-position model. The record is from RNAcentral.
AGGACGAACGCUGGCGGCGCGCUUAACACAUGCAAGUCGAGCGAGAACCAGGGCUUCGGCCCUGGGGAAAGCGGCGAACGGGUGAGUAACACGUGAGUAACCUGUCCUCGGCACCGGGAUAGCCCGGGGAAACCCGGAUUAAUACCGGAUGGCCUUUCGAGCUCUCGGGCUCGUUAGAAAAGGUAGCUUCGGCCUCCGGCCGAGGAGGGACUCGCGGCGGAUUAGCUUGUUGGUGAGGUAACGGCUCACCAAGGCGACGAUCCGUAGCUGGUCUGAGAGGACGAUCAGCCACACUGGGACUGAGACACGGCCCAGACUCCUACGGGAGGCAGCAGUGGGGAAUCUUGCGCAAUGGGCGAAAGCCUGACGCAGCGACGCCGCGUGCGGGAAGAAGGCCUCGGGUUGUAAACCGCUUUCAGGAGGGACGAAGCCACUCGGGUUAAUAGCCCAGAGGGUGACGGUACCUCCAGAAGAAGCCCGGCUAACUACGUGCCAGCAGCCGC